UCGGGAAUUUUGGGCAAUGGGGGAAACCCUGACCCAGCAACGCCGCGUGAAGGAUGAAGUAUUUCGGUAUGUAAACUUCGAAAGAAUAGGAAGAAUAAAUGACGGUACUAUUUAUAAGGUCCGGCUAACUACGUGCCAGCAGCCGCGGUAAUACGUAGGGACCAAGCGUUGUUCGGAUUUACUGGGCGUAAAGGGCGCGUAGGCGGCAUGACAAGUCAUCUGUGAAAUCUCCGGGCUUAACUCGGAACGGUCAGAUGAUACUGCUUUGCUAGAGUGCAGAAGGGGCAAUCGGAAUUCUUGGUGUAGCGGUGAAAUGCGUAGAUAUCAAGAGGAACACCUGAGGUGAAGACGGGUUGCUGGGCUGACACUGACGCUGAGGCGCGAAAGCCAGGGGAGCAAACGGGAUUAGAUACCCAAGUAGUCCCUGAGCGGGCUGGCAAGGCGCAU
RNAcentral lists this ribosomal RNA (447 nucleotides) under uncultured bacterium. RNAcentral describes it as "bacterial SSU rRNA". It matches the Rfam family "Bacterial small subunit ribosomal RNA", at positions 355 to 825 of the family's 1533-position model. The record is from RNAcentral.